This is a long non-coding RNA of Monodelphis domestica (gray short-tailed opossum), 1058 nucleotides long. RefSeq lists it as uncharacterized. NCBI's taxonomy places the organism in Eukaryota, Metazoa, Chordata, Mammalia, Didelphimorphia, Didelphidae. The record is from RefSeq and is a predicted model, not a curated record.
UUGGGGGAAGAGAGGCUGUUGCUUUUCCCUAACAGUCAGGGGAGAGCCCAGAGGGUUUUCAGUCUGGUUAUUCUGGGGUAGACCCAGAGAGCCAGUGAUUCCCUCUCCUGUGGGCUUUCCUUGAGAUUCUGCCCAUCACAGCUGCUGCUGAGGAGUGAAUGUUCAACAUCCACAACAUCACCAACAAGCUGGUGACUUCCUACUGAGACUGCUGAUUGACCUAAAGAAGGACUCCAGUUGUGAAGGAAGCAAAAUAUUCCAAACGUGUGGAUUCCAGAGGGAUUACAUGGUACUUUGUGAAAUUAUACUCAAUAAAGUUAAAGGAAAUACAUUAGUGCAACUUAAAACAACCACAAUAAGAAUGGAAGAAGUAUAUAUAAUUAAUAAAAAGAGAGCUGAUCAUGGAUACCUAAAGAUAUGAGGAAACUGCAGCAAACAGGGGUAAGUGACUUGCCCAGGGUCACCUAGCUAAUAGGUUUCUGAGACCAGACUAGUCUUCCUGACUCCAGACCUGGACCUCUAUUUGUUGAUGCAUCUGUACAAAGGACGCCAACGUUUUGGAGAUGUCGUACCACCAUUAGUAAGACUGAUCUCUCCACAGUCAGCUCCACAGUCCAGGUGGAGGCCCAACGUGAAGCCUUCCAAGCCAUAGGAGGACCUGCUGGCACUUUCAUUCUAUUGCCAUGGGGUAUGAGAAGCUACAGUGGAUAUUCUCUCUGCUGGGCUAAGGCAGCAGAGUGCAACUUAUGGAGAAUACUUAUAAGUACUGCACAAUAAAAGUGUGUACCUUGUGUUUCUAUUCACUUAUAUCCUGAUGACACUUAUAAGUCUCCACUCGUAGUUGUACUUAAAAAAAAAGUCUGAUAAAAGAGGUUUAUAAGUUAUAUUUCCAGCCUCUCCAAUGGGCAAGACUCUGAAGGGAGACAGCACAGAUUCCAAUGCCCUGAGUAAGGGGAGGCAAAGGUUUCCUACUGUGAAAUUAGAAUCAGUUACCCUAAAAACUACAACCCCCAGGGUUUUUUUUUCAUGGUAAUUUAUAUACAAAAGGAGAAAGAGUG